CCGGGUCUUGUACACACCGCCCGUCACACCACGAGAGUUUGUAACACCCGAAGCCGGUGGAGUAACCAUUUGGAGCUAGCCGUCGAAGGUGGGACAAAUGAUUGGGGUGAAGUCGUAACAAGGUAGCCGUAUCGGAAGGUGCGGCUGGAUCACCUCCUUUCUAAGGA
RNAcentral lists this ribosomal RNA (167 nucleotides) under Staphylococcus epidermidis. RNAcentral's name for it is "partial 16S ribosomal RNA". It matches the Rfam family "Bacterial small subunit ribosomal RNA", at positions 1374 to 1533 of the family's 1533-position model. The record is from RNAcentral. Lineage: Bacteria; Bacillati; Bacillota; Bacilli; Caryophanales; Staphylococcaceae.